AUUCGUAGUUCCGGGGCUGGCUGAGGCCUGCCAGCCUUGCCCCCGCUCCUUCUUACGCAUGCGCGACUCCGAGCUGGCCCAAGAAGUUCGUAGCCUUUGUCAGGCCCGGGAUGGGAGGUUCCAGCCUCGCGGCACCGAGCCAGGCUCGAGAGUGAGGAAGAAACCCGACCCGACCAGAUCGAAACCUUUCAGCGGAGCCCCCCGAGGGAAGGCAGGAGGGAGGACGACGAGGCCACGGAGGCUUCUCACUGUUCGGCCCGGAGAAGUCUGAACUGGCGGGGGAGAUUGGAACCGGGAGCAGGUGGUGAUCAUGGAGACCGAUGUGCACGAGAAGAGAGCUCUGUCUUCCCAGGAUGCUCCCCUUUCCCAAGAGCGGAGCACAGAAGAGGGGGAAGUGGCAGCUCUGCGACUCACAGCUAGAUCCCAGGCAUCAGUGACAUUCAAGGAUGUGGCCAUGGACUUUACCCCAGAGGAGUGGGGGAAGCUGGAUCCUGCCCAAAGGGAGGUGAUGCUGGAGAACUAUAGGAACCUGGUGUCGCUUUGGCUUCCAGUUUCCAAAUCUGAGAACUACAGUUUGGAGAGCGGAAAAGAACCAUUGAUGCUUGAGAGAAAAGCCCCCAAAAGCAGCUAUUCAGACCUGGAGGCUAAACCCGAGGGCAAAGAUUCAACUUCAGCGCAAGAUAUUUCCAAAGAAGAAUCAUGCCAAGCCACAGUAAUAGACAGACUGACAGGAAAUGGUGUCUAUGACUCCAGCUUGGAAACAACUCUUGAAUGUGAAAAUUGGUUAGAGAAUCAGCAAGGAAAUCAGGAGAGACCCUUGAGAGAAAUGUUCACCCAUGUGAAUUCACUCCCCGAAGAAGGAGCUCAUGAGCAUGACGUAUAUUGGAAAAACUUUGGUCAGAAGUCUGUUCUUCUCACUCAAGACCGAGUUCCCAAAGAAUCCUAUGCCUUCCAUACACUUGGAAAAAGGUUGAAACCGAAAACAAACUUAAUGAAAAAGCAAAGAACCUAUAAAGAGAAAAAACCUCAUAAAUGUAACGAUUGCGGGGAGCUCUUCACUUACCAUUCAGUGCUUAUUCGACACCAGAGAGUCCAUACUGGAGAGAAACCCUAUAGCUGUAAUGAAUGUGGGAAAUCUUUUAGCCACAGAGCUAAUUUAACUAAACAUCAGAGAACUCAUACCAGAAUUCUCUUUGAAUGCAGUGAAUGCAAGAAGGCCUUCACAGAAAGCUCAUCCCUCGCGAUACAUCAGAGAAUUCACAUUGGGGAGAGACCGUAUGAAUGCAAUGAAUGCGGAAAAGGUUUUAAUCGAAGUACACAUCUGGUACAGCAUCAGUUGAUUCAUACUGGAGUGAAGCCGUAUGAAUGUAAUGAAUGUGAUAAAGCUUUCAUUCAUUCCUCAGCUCUUAUUAAACAUCAAAGAACUCAUACUGGAGAGAAACCCUACAAAUGUCAGGAAUGUGGGAAAGCCUUUAGCCACUGCUCAUCCCUUACUAAACAUCAGAGAGUUCAUACUGGAGAAAAGCCAUAUGAAUGUAGCGAAUGUGGAAAAACCUUUAGUCAGAGCACACAUCUUGUUCAGCAUCAGAGAAUCCAUACUGGAGAGAAACCCUAUGAGUGUAACGAAUGUGGGAAAACCUUCAGCCGGAGCUCAAAUUUUGCUAAACAUCAAAGAAUUCAUAUUGGAAAGAAACCGUACAAAUGUAAUGAAUGUGGGAAAGCCUUCAUUCAUUCAUCAGCUCUUAUUCAACACCAGAGAACUCAUACUGGAGAGAAGCCUUACAGAUGUGACGAAUGUGGGAAAAGCUUUAAGUGCAGUUCAUCCCUCAUCAGACAUCAAAGAAUUCAUACUGAAGAGCAACUCUGAAAAAUUACUGAAUGUGAAGAAAUGGCUAGAAAACUAAACCCAAUGGAUUCAUCUCCACCAAGUUCCACCUGUAAUACCUGUAAAUAUGGAUGAAUUGCUCUCCUUUUGCGGUUCCCCAGGUCUGUUACAGCUCCUGUUCUACCGGAGAGUGACCUUCUUUUCGACUUGUAGGGCUGGGAUCUUGAAAGCCAUAGCAUAGGUCAUUCAUUCCUCCUCAACUAACUCUUUGUCCUCCACUGAAUCGUCGGUUAACAGUCUGAUCUCAUGAAGUAAUCUGCUUCCAGACAAAAAAAACAAAA
Leopardus geoffroyi (Geoffroy's cat) is the source of this 2166-nucleotide RNA transcript. It is a transcript of the gene named zinc finger protein 286A, with no coding region annotated. The record is from RefSeq and is a predicted model, not a curated record. NCBI's taxonomy places the organism in Eukaryota, Metazoa, Chordata, Mammalia, Carnivora, Felidae. The transcript has 8 exons.